This 471-nucleotide ribosomal RNA is filed under the name Klebsiella pneumoniae. RNAcentral's name for it is "bacterial LSU rRNA". It matches the Rfam family "Bacterial large subunit ribosomal RNA", at positions 1292 to 1767 of the family's 2925-position model. Lineage: Bacteria; Pseudomonadati; Pseudomonadota; Gammaproteobacteria; Enterobacterales; Enterobacteriaceae. The record is from RNAcentral.
GAAUGCUGACAUAAGUAACGAUAAAGCGGGUGAAAAGCCCGCUCGCCGGAAGACCAAGGGUUCCUGUCCAACGUUAAUCGGGGCAGGGUGAGUCGACCCCUAAGGCGAGGCCGAAAGGCGUAGUCGAUGGGAAACAGGUUAAUAUUCCUGUACUUGGUGUUACUGCGAAGGGGGGACGGAGAAGGCUAUGUUAGCCGGGCGCGGUUGUCCCGGUUUAAGCAUGUAGGCUGGUUAUCCAGGCAAAUCCGGAUAAUCAAGGCUGAGGUGUGAUGACGAGGCACUACGGUGCUGAAGUAACAAAUGCCCUGCUUCCAGGAAAAGCCUCUAAGCAUCAGGUAACAUCAAAUCGUACCCAAACCGACACAGGUGGUCAGGUAGAGAAUACCAAGGCGCUUGAGAGAACUCGGGUGAAGGAACUAGGCAAAAUGGUGCCGUAACUUCGGGAGAAGGCACGCUGGUGUGUAGGUGAAG